RNAcentral lists this microRNA precursor (139 nucleotides) under Podarcis lilfordi (Lilford's wall lizard). The record is from RNAcentral. Lineage: Eukaryota; Metazoa; Chordata; Lepidosauria; Squamata; Lacertidae.
UGUCCAGUAGCACCUUAGAGACCAAGUAAGUUUGUUCAUGGUAUAAGCUUUCGUGUGCAUGGUAUCUGAAGAAGUGUGCAUGCACACGAAAGCUUAUACCCAGAACAAACUUACUUGGUCUCUAAGGUGCUACUGGACA